UACGUAGGUGGCAAGCGUUGUCCGGAUUUACUGGGCGUAAAGAGCGCGCAGGCGGUCGUGCAAGUCGCGUGUGAAAGCCCCCGGCUCAACUGGGGAGGGUCACGCGAUACUGAUCGACUGGAAGGCAGGAGAGGGUAGUGGAAUUCCCGGUGUAGUGGUGAAAUGCGUAGAUAUCGGGAGGAACACCAGUGGCGAAGGCGACUACCUGGCCUGUUCUUGACGCUGAGGCGCGAAAGCUAGGGGAGCAAACGGG
This 253-nucleotide ribosomal RNA is filed under the name uncultured bacterium. Its description in RNAcentral is "partial 16S ribosomal RNA". It matches the Rfam family "Bacterial small subunit ribosomal RNA", at positions 524 to 776 of the family's 1533-position model. The record is from RNAcentral.